UGGAUUUUGAUAAGAAAAAUAAGUAGAAAGUGGAAAAUGGGCGGUUACCUUUCCAUUUUGCUAGACACUUAAAUUAUUUCUGCCCCUUAGAAAGGAGAGCAACAGUUAAAAGAUGUAUUCAAUUGUUCUUUGAGCCAAGAACUUAAUUUUCACUUAUUCUUUAUCAGUAACAUGCAUCACAUGUGCUGAGUUCAAGUUCACAAAAACUAAUCUUUCUAAAUUAGUUCUUUUUUGUAGAAUUUUCUUCGCUAAAACCUAAUGUUUUUUUGGGUGCAAUGUAUAUAACUUUUACUUUAUAAGAUAUGCAUCUUAUUUUUUCACACUUCUGAACAAAUUUUGAUAUCUUUCUUCUAUUAUUGUUUUCAAGUGUAGAGCAUUCAACUAGCCUAUGUGAAAUAGUAAUGAAAGACACUAUUUACAAUAAUGCAAAGCAGGGAGAACACGCAGGUACCAAAAAUAUCAUGACACAAUUUUAUCACCAUUUUAACUAUACUAAAAGAACUCCAGUCAAUUAACAUAAACCGACUUACUGAAGCAAGCUAUCAGAUCUUGGAAACUACGUCAACAACAUGGUUCAAAGAACAUACAAAGAGCACAUAAAAACAAUGCCACAUCCUUCAGUUCUAGUAAAUAAGUUUGUCCCAGGUUGGAAAGUGAAGAAGCAAGUUACUCAAUAAAAGGGAUAUCGACAUAUAACGCGCAAACCAAAAGUAGAAAUCAAGAACCCUCUAGAGAAUCUAAAAAUGAAGCGAGAAAAUAAGAAUUGGUGAAACUACAAUAUAAUGCCAGAUAUAAAUGACAAAUCAAGAACCAUCUUGAUAUUUUGAAGAAGCAAGAGAAUACGAAGGUAAAAGAUUCAUAUGUUAGCAAAUCUUCAAAGUUCUCUUUCGAACUCCAAAGCGAGAAAGAAAAAACCACAUCGAACGUCUGAAUUAAACAAAGUGAACAACCAAAGGAGACAUCAACAAUGCAAAUUGGAAAAGGCUUGCGUUAAUUACUGAUUUGUCAUUCGAAAGGCCAAAAAUUACUACAUCAAUAUCAUCCAAAAUUGCGGGAGACCACAAUAAUGCAAAUUGGAUAGGUUUUCUUUAAUUGCUGAUCUAUCAUUUGAAAAAGCCAAAAUGAUUGCAUCAAUAUCAUCCAAAAAAUCGCAUCAAUAGCUGCAUUUACACAUAAGCUGGAUGAAAACAUCUGCAUUUAGACAAAGGUAACCACAAGAAGAGACCAAUAGAUUGUGAUUUGUGAAUUAGAAAUCUUGUUUUUAAUCAGACCAAGAAAUCUGUAUUAAAGUUUAUUUAUUGUUGGGUAGUAGGUUUGUCUGGUAUGUUUGGCUAUUAUUGAAAUAGGUAGGUUUGAUUUCAAUUAGGUCUCUCUUCGUAGUGUUGUCUAAAGCAGAUGGUACGGUUGAGGGUUUUUUCAAACAUAGUUUAAUAUUGUGUAGUGGCGGCUGUUUGCUAUGUUAUAUUGUCUGGGUAUUUUUGAACUUGUAGUACAUUGUUGUGCUUUACAAGGUUAGCUUUCUGGUUGAAAAAUUGAGACACUUUCUCCAUUUUGGUAUGUUUAGUUGCCACGGCAACUUGUAUGAUUGAAUUUUGUUUCCGCUGUUAAUAUUUGAGUUUUCAAGGUUUUGGUUGCUAUUGCUUAAUUUAUGUUUGUUUUAUGGGAUUUAGGUUCUUGUAAUUUUCAUGCUUUGCAUAAGUGAUUCUUGACUUCUUCAGAAUAUUGCAUUUGAUAAGUCUAUUUAAAUACUUGAUAUAUUCUUUUUAUUUUUGACUCCAUUAGGGAUUUGUUUCUGCUAUAGUUUAUUUGUGGUUAUCUAACAUGGAUGCUUUCAGAAGCUUACUUGUAAUGUCUAAUGGAUUUUUCUAAAAUAUUUGCAUUAAUUACUGUUGGAACUAGGUACCAAAGAUCGCUAUAUGCUUGGUUCUGAUGAAGAAAAUAGGGUCGAAUUUGCAUGGUUUAUGCUGUGUUAGAUUUUUCAUCUGUCCAUAUGAUACCUGGUAUUUUCUGUUUCUAAAAGAUCUGCUUGUUGGGUUAUCGUUGUUUGAUAAAGAUGCUAAGGCAGAUGAAUGGUGAAGCUAGGAAGAACAAAAUUUGAGUAACCUAGGGAAAGCUUGGGAGUUGAGAGUUAUGCUUUCAGUGAUGUUCAGUUGAUGGGUUUGCGUAAUGAUGUCAUGGGUAUGCAUUUUCUUUAUUUUCACCGAUAUAAUUUGAAAAACUAGGCUUAACUAGUUUGGAUGCAUACCCUCGUACAAGCGAUCAUGCAUGUGGAUUUGAAACCCAGGAUGAGACUCAUCUACUGUGUUCAGAUGACUUUCAAAGAGAGGCGUUUAAAGAAGUCCUUUGGGAUGCUAAUAAGCAUCACACCCAACAAAUUAAGAGGGAGGCUAUAUAUGACAUAUGAACUUGCAAGAGAUGGUGCAUGACAAAUUGUGAAACAUAGAACAUUUAUGGGCUUAGGUUAUCAUUUUUGACCAUCAAUUUUUUGAUGCAGCCAUUGGAGAUAUUUAUUCAUCUCACAUCAACUACAGAUGUUCAACAUUGAAUUGGGUCACUUGGGACCAAUUUUCUCCAGUAUUUCGUUUUUGUAAUUUUUUACAGAUAUUAAAAAACAUUUGGUUUAAUGCUUAAUGCCAUGAAAAAUCAAAAUAGCUACUUUUAUGCUUAGGCAACUAGUAGAAAGAUCUAUUGGAGAAAUGAACAAAAUCUAUACAUGAACUUUAUUUACUUGGGGAGAGUGCGGAGUAGUUUGUUAGGCAAUAUGGUGCAUGUUAAUGAGGAAAGCUAAGGAAAUGGAGGGUUUUCUGAUAGCUGCAAAGCAAACAAAAUGUUUGGUCUAUUUAAUUAUUUAUGCUGUGAAGUUAUGGGAACGAUGAGUUUUAUCAGUGCUCCAUUGCCUCGUGAAAGCUUCUCCAAUGUUGUAAAGAUGAAGAAGAACCAAGUUCUUAAAUAUGGAUAUUUUGGAAAUCUGAGUGGUGGUUGCCAGCCACUAGGAUGUUGAUUUAGAUCACGAUAAAGCUAAUAAUUAUUGCAAUAGUGAUUGGUUGCAUGGAAGCAUUGAAACUCUAAACAGUUAGUUGUGCCAGCAGCACAGGUUAUGCUAUGAACAUAGUGGCAUGCUCUGGCUGUGGUUGUAUAGUGGAGGCCAUGCUUUGGUGGGAGUAUCAAUAGAAAGAAGGCUCUCAGAAUGAGUAUCAAAAACAAAAGCACCUAAAGGAUAUCCAAGGGUGACGGCAUUGUUCAGAAUGUGAAAUUUAUUGAGGCAGAACUAAGGGGUGGGAAGUGGGAGCAGGCUUAGACAUGCAUUAUGAUUUAGGACAAGGGAAGGAUAAGAAGGGUCAUUGAAAGGAUAUGGGUGAUUAGGAUUGGAAGGGUUAGACAGACCCAAAGGCUAGGAACUUCAAAUAUUUUAAUUCCUUGCCCUGUUUGUAUUAGGUACAUAUAAAAUAUUGAUACUCGCUGGAUACUUCUAGGAUAUGUGUUGAGUACUUCUAGUAUCUUACUUUUCAAGAUUUGAAAAAGGGUUCAGAUACUUCCCAACUUAGCCUGUGAUACUUUGAUAACACCCUAAGAAUGAGGGGUGGGGCUUUAUUUUCUUGUUAACUUUUAAUGAAUCCUGGCCUUUUAAUGAUGAAUGGCUAAUUUUGGAGAUUGUGAUGUUGAUGUUAUUGCAUGGAGUAUGAAUUAUGGUCUAUUGGUCUAAAUGAUAACUAAAUGGACCUUGAGGAUGCUAGUUCUGUUGUAUAAAAUAUGGAAUACAUUGUUUCGAUGGCCUACUAUACUUUAUAAAUGCUAUUAUAUAUGUAAGAACAUCUGUAUUUAUUCAUUGUUCCAAGCCAUAUUAUAUCGUACUUUAUUGAGAUUUGCCAUAUUGGUGAAUCUGCCCAAUAUCCAUAUCAUAGUUGUAAAAGGAGAUUCAAAGGAAAAGCAUAAUCAUGGGGAGUAACAAAUUUUAACCUACAAAUGCUAGCGUGACUUGACCCAACCUUCUUUCAAUCAGGUAUCUGGAAACCUUUCAGUUGGCACUUUCCAGGUCAUGUUAUGGUUAAGAGCCUAAUGGCUCUUUUCAACAUAUUGACUUCGAGUUGUUUAUUCAGAAUCAACUAGGAGAAAGAAUGGAAUAUAUACAGCUGAAGGGUGAAAAUGGGGCAAGAAAAGUAAAGCUGCUUGCAAGGCUAGCAAUCAUGAAGGGUGGGGGAAGUUCAGUUGAUUGGAAGUGUUAAGGUUAGUGUGGAUUUUAGUUCGAACUCUUCAUGCAUGGAAGUGGAAAUGAGUAUAUGAAUUCAGAUGGAGUUUGACAUAACGAGUCCAAAAAUUUUGAUGGAGUUUGACAUUGUGUGUGCACGUGACCAUGCAUGGUUUCAUGGAUGCAUGCUUGCAUAUCAAGUUUCUAAGUUAUGACUAAUGGGAUGUGACAAGUGGAUAACGUACUGAAGUCCUUAUGGAAUUGCAUGGAGAGAUGAGGAGCAAAAUCACAUUGCCAAGUCAUGGAACAAAGUUGAUGUUUGUGCCUGCAGGAACCACCAGUUCUUCUACCAGCAUCAGAAAGAGUGCAGGAAACAUGCUAAGCAGGUUUCAUAUUUGAAGGCAUUGACAACAAAUAUAAUGAAUGCAUUCUUGUUACUUGCAAGAUACCGGUGUUAGAUACAUAUUUUUCGCACAUAUCAUUGUAGAUACUCGCAAAAUUUUCCUUAUGCAGAAUCUUGCUUUGCAGGAAGGAACCAAGAAUUCCACAGAUUAAAGCUCAGAUUCCACCAAUUAUCAGAAUUUGAUGAAGGAAAAUGCAGUUGUCGCAGACGUCUGGCAAGGCACAAUGAGCGUCGAAGGAAGCCACCUCCUGGACCUUUGUCAUCAUGCUAUGAAGACCCCAGCAGAUUCAGAAGCUUUCUUAUUGGUGCGGGCACCAGUACCAGACCACCCGUCACUCGGGUCUAUAGUCGCUGUGGGAGGAUGGUCCAGCCAGUUUCAUUGUAGUUAGAGUGAUUUUAUUUCAUUUUGAUGGCCUUUGGGCUUAUGUAAUUUUUUUUUAUGUUUGAGAGCCUUUUGUGAGAUUGGCUUCUUUGUAGAAAAGUUUUUGUAUUUUGGAUCUUAUAUAUAUGUUGGACCAUACGUUUGUAUGGGUUAUGCUAUGAAUGAGGAAAUAGUUCUUUUUCUUUUAA
This is a non-coding RNA of Phoenix dactylifera (date palm), 5159 nucleotides long. The record is from RefSeq and is a predicted model, not a curated record. NCBI's taxonomy places the organism in Eukaryota, Viridiplantae, Streptophyta, Magnoliopsida, Arecales, Arecaceae.